AGAAGUUUAGGUUAAAUCAAACCAAAGGCCUUCAAAGCCUUAAACACGAGCCACCAGCCUCAUAACUUCUG
This 71-nucleotide transfer RNA is filed under the name Cyrtodactylus ngati. RNAcentral's name for it is "Cyrtodactylus sp. MLe-2021a tRNA-Trp". It matches the Rfam family "tRNA". Rfam says of the family: Transfer RNA (tRNA) molecules are approximately 80 nucleotides in length. Their secondary structure includes four short double-helical elements and three loops (D, anti-codon, and T loops). Further hydrogen bonds mediate the characteristic L-shaped molecular structure. tRNAs have two regions of fundamental functional importance: the anti-codon, which is responsible for specific mRNA codon recognition, and the 3' end, to which the tRNAs corresponding amino acid is attached (by aminoacyl-tRNA synthetases). tRNAs cope with the degeneracy of the genetic code in two manners: having more than one tRNA (with a specific anti-codon) for a particular amino acid; and 'wobble' base-pairing, i.e. permitting non-standard base-pairing at the 3rd anti-codon position. The record is from RNAcentral. RNAcentral also lists the same sequence under 1 other name. Lineage: Eukaryota; Metazoa; Chordata; Lepidosauria; Squamata; Gekkonidae.